GUAGGUGGCAAGCGCUGUCCGGAAUUAUUGGGCGUAAAGCGCGCGCAGGCGGUUCUUUAAGUCUGAUGUGAAAGCCCACGGCUCAACCGUGGAGGGUCAUUGGAAACUGGAGAACUUGAGUACAGAAGAGGAAAGCGGAAUUCCACGUGUAGCGGUGAAAUGCGUAGAGAUGUGGAGGAACACCAGUGGCGAAGGCGGCUUUCUGGUCUGCAACUGACGCUGAGGCGCGAAAGCGUGGGGGGGAGCAAACAGGAUUAGAUACCCUGGUAGUCCACGCCGUAAACGAUGAGUGCUAAGUGUUAGGGGGUUUCCGCCCCCCCCUCAGUGCUGCAGCUAACGCAUUAAGCACUCCGCCUGGGAGUACGGCCGCAAGGCUG
Molecule: ribosomal RNA, 377 nt
Filed under: uncultured organism
Description: partial 16S ribosomal RNA
Rfam family: Bacterial small subunit ribosomal RNA
Source: RNAcentral